Molecule: ribosomal RNA, 475 nt
Filed under: uncultured organism
Description: partial 16S ribosomal RNA
Rfam family: Bacterial small subunit ribosomal RNA
Source: RNAcentral
ACACUCCUGCGGGAGGCAGCAGUGGGGAAUUUUGGACAAUGGGCGAAAGCCUGAUCCAGCAAUGCCGCGUGCAGGAUGAAGGCCUUCGGGUUGUAAACUGCUUUUGUACGGAACGAAAAAGCUCCUUCUAAUACAGGGGGCCCAUGACGGUACCGUAAGAAUAAGCACCGGCUAACUACGUGCCAGCAGCCGCGGUAAUACGUAGGGUGCGAGCGUUAAUCGGAAUUACUGGGCGUAAAGCGUGCGCAGGCGGUUAUGUAAGACAGAUGUGAAAUCCCCGGGCUCAACCUGGGAACUGCAUUUGUGACUGCAUGGCUAGAGUACGGUAGAGGGGGAUGGAAUUCCGCGUGUAGCAGUGAAAUGCGUAGAUAUGCGGAGGAACACCGAUGGCGAAGGCAAUCCCCUGGACCUGUACUGACGCUCAUGCACGAAAGCGUGGGGAGCAAACAGGAUUAGAAACCCUGGUAGUCCCAUG